AACGGCUACCACAUCCAAGAAAGGCAGCAGGCGCGCAAAUUACCCAAUCCCGACACGGGGAGGUAGUGACAAUAAAUAACAAUAUAGGGCUCUUUCGGGUCUUAUAAUUGGAAUGAGUACAAUUUAAAUCUCUUAACGAGGAACAAUUGGAGGGCAAGUCUGGUGCCAGCAGCCGCGGUAAUUCCAGCUCCAAUAGCGUAUAUUAAAGUUGUUGCAGUUAAAAAGCUCGUAGUUGAACUUCAGACCUGGUCGAGUGGUCCGCCUAACGGUGUGUACUGCUUGACUGGGCCUUACCUCUUGGUGAGCCGGCGUGCCCUUUAUUGGUGUGCGUCGGGGAACCAGGACUUUUACCUUGAGAAAAUUAGAGUGUUCAAAGCAGGCCUAUGCCCGAAUACAUUAGCAUGGAAUAAUAGAAUAGGACGUGCGGUUCUAUUUUGUUGGUUUCUAGAGUCGCCGUAAUGAUUAAUAGGGAUAGUUGGGGGCAUUGGUAUUGAGUCGCUAGAGGUGAAAUUCUUGGAUUGACUCAAGACCGACUAUUGCGAAAGCAUUUGCCAAGGAUGUUUUCAUUAAUCAAGAACGAAGGUUAGGGGAUCGAAAACGAUCAGAUACCGUUGUAGUCUUAACAGUAAACUAUGCCGACUAGGGAUCGGGCAACCUCAAUUAUGAUGUGUUGCUCGGCACCUUACGAGAAAUCAAAGCUUUGGGUUCUGGGGGGAGUAUGGUCGCAAGGCUGAAA
RNAcentral lists this ribosomal RNA (736 nucleotides) under uncultured Basidiomycota. RNAcentral describes it as "SSU rRNA". It matches the Rfam family "Eukaryotic small subunit ribosomal RNA", at positions 402 to 1142 of the family's 1831-position model. Lineage: Eukaryota; Fungi; Basidiomycota. The record is from RNAcentral.